UAGGCCUACGGGACGCAGCAGUGAGGAAUAUUGGUCAAUGGUCGGGAGACUGAACCAGCCAAGCCGCGUGAGGGAGGAAGGUACAGAGUAUCGUAAACCUCUUUUGUCAGGGAACAAAGGCGGGGACUAGUCCCCGGAUGAGGGUACCUGAAGAAAAAGCAUCGGCUAACUCCGUGCCAGCAGCCGCGGUAAUACGGAGGAUGCGAGCGUUAUCCGGAUUUAUUGGGUUUAAAGGGUGCGCAGGCGGCCUGUUAAGUCUGCGGUAAAAGCCCGGGGCUCAACCCCGGCGGACCGUU
This 296-nucleotide ribosomal RNA is filed under the name uncultured bacterium. RNAcentral's name for it is "partial 16S ribosomal RNA". It matches the Rfam family "Bacterial small subunit ribosomal RNA", at positions 334 to 628 of the family's 1533-position model. The record is from RNAcentral.